GAAGAAAGACAGAUGGACGCUGGUUUUUUUAAACGAGAGGAAAGUCCGGGCACCUGAGAGCAACGGUGCCGGUUAACGACCGGUCAAGGUAACUUGAAGGAAAGUGCCACAGAAAAUAAACCGCCUUGGAAAGCUACGGUUUUUGAAGGUAAGGGUGAAAUGGGGCGGUAAGAGCGCACCGCAGACUUGGAGACAAGUUUGGCACGGCAAACCCCACCGGGUGAAAGGUCAAGGUGAGACCCGUCGUCCUGUGGCUCGCAGGCUGGGUUUCUAAUGAGACCGCUUGAGGAUGUUGGCAACGACAUCCCUAGACGAAUGGCCAUCCGUAGGAUCCGAGCAAUUGGGCCUACCGACAGAAUCCGGCUUACGGCUUUCUGCGACG
RNAcentral lists this RNase P RNA (382 nucleotides) under Myxococcaceae bacterium. RNAcentral describes it as "RNase P RNA component class A". It matches the Rfam family "Bacterial RNase P class A". Rfam says of the family: Ribonuclease P (RNase P) is a ubiquitous endoribonuclease, found in archaea, bacteria and eukarya as well as chloroplasts and mitochondria. Its best characterised activity is the generation of mature 5'-ends of tRNAs by cleaving the 5'-leader elements of precursor-tRNAs. The record is from RNAcentral. Lineage: Bacteria; Pseudomonadati; Myxococcota; Myxococcia; Myxococcales; Myxococcaceae.